UGCUAGUACUUAAGUUUCCUCAACUUAAUUUGAAGGUUACGUUCAUAUCAAUUUAUGAUAUAUGAACAGGUGAAGGCGCCCUUUACUAGGGCUGUUAACGAGCCGAGUCAAGCCGAGCAGGGCCUAGCUCGAGCUCGGCUCGGCUCGGCUCGAGCUCGAAUUAUAAAUCGAGCUGAGGUUUAGGGCUCGAGCUCGACUCGAUUAUAAAUUCGAGCCGGCUCGAUUUAGCUCGAUCCAAUCAAGAACAGUUAAGUUGACAAGUAUAUAAGCACUCAUACAUGAUUUGAUUGCAACGUAAUUAAGCCAAAGACUUAAAUAUGUAACUUUUUUUGGCCUAAGAAUAAAAUAUGUAAGUAUAACUUAUUAUUCUUUUGUUGGUUUCACCUUGAUUUUUAUAGGGGAGGUGUUCCCUCAGUGUUUGUGUUCUCUGCGAUGUGAGACAAAAGUGAUUGUAGGAUAAUCAAAGUUUAUGUAUUAGAAUCAUAUUAUUAGUUAUUUAUUGAUACUGAUAAUGUAUGUUUCAGAAUCAUAUUAUUAGUUCUUAUCAGUUCUUUAUUUGAUCUCAGUUACAUCAUCUGCAAAACACAUACACAUAGUUGGAUAGUCAAAGUGUACACAUCAGAAUCAUAUAAGAAUCCACUAGAUUCGUAAUUGUAAGAACUAACUAAAUAUUGAGAUUUGAAUAUAUAUAAGCUAACAAAUUCACAAUAUUAUGUCUAUUAAAACUAAUAUAUUAAAAAUAAAAUAAUUCGAGCCGGCUCACGAGCCGAGCCAGGCCUAGCUCGGGCUCGGCUCGUUUUCAAACCUAGCCGAGCCGAGCUGAACCGAGCCGAGCCGAGCUGGCUCGUUUACAACCGAGCCAAUUUCAAGCCGAGCUUUUUUUGAGUUUUUUUCGAGCGAACUUCGAGCAAGCCGCGAGCUUUUUGAACACCCCUACCCUUUACAAAGCUACUCGCGAGCUACUCGAGCUCGGCUUGAAAAAAGCUUGAACGAGCUUAAACGAGCCCGAGUCUAAAAAACAAGCUACUUUAGUAAACGAGCCCAUGCCCGGGCUUCACUUAUUGAGCUCGAGCAGGCUUGCAAACCUAAACGAGCCUAUUGUUUAUAUAAAUUUUUAUUACUAUAUUAAAUAUAUAUUCAAAUAAUAAUAAAUUUAUGAAAAAAUAACUAAGUGCUUCUUUUAAUCAUGAUUAUUCAUGAAUAUUGAAGUUGACUACCAAGGUUUUCGGUAAUAAACGUGUUCAAUCUCAGGUCAUUUCAAGUUAAAUAAGUGCUUUUUUAACUAUGAUUAUUCAUGUAUAUUAACUUGUAGUCGUCCAUUUUCUACAGUUAAUGACCUGCAACAAUGUUACUUACAAAAAUGGCGUCAACUAGUGAAUCCAUCACGGAACCACCAUAAAAAGGAUGUUGUUGUCAUGCAAAGGGAAGGGAAUGAGAGAAGGUUGUGUUGUUACAACUUGCAAGUGCGGCUAGGAGUGACAGUUUGAGACAAAAGUAUUGUUGCAAGUGCUCCUAAGAGUAAUGCAAGUUAUGUUGGAGUUGCUGCACAUUUGUAUAUAUCUUUUGAUUAGAACUUAGAAGUUUAUGUAUCUAGUAUUUAAAUUUAAAACUUAUGCAUGGGUUUUGGUUUAUUAUUGUUAAUGUCAUUAAAUUUGUUUUUUGGGUUU
Molecule: long non-coding RNA, 1667 nt
Organism: Helianthus annuus (common sunflower)
Lineage: Eukaryota; Viridiplantae; Streptophyta; Magnoliopsida; Asterales; Asteraceae
Exons: 2
Source: RefSeq, a predicted model, not a curated record